GACGAACGCUGGCGGCGUGCCUAAUACAUGCAAGUAGAACGCUGAAGAGAGGAGCUUGCUCUUCUUGGAUGAGUUGCGAACGGGUGAGUAACGCGUAGGUAACCUGCCUUGUAGCGGGGGAUAACUAUUGGAAACGAUAGCUAAUACCGCAUAACAAUGGAUGACACAUGUCAUUUAUUUGAAAGGGGCAAUUGCUCCACUACAAGAUGGACCUGCGUUGUAUUAGCUAGUAGGUGAGGUAACGGCUCACCUAGGCGACGAUACAUAGCCGACCUGAGAGGGUGAUCGGCCACACUGGGACUGAGACACGGCCCAGACUCCUACGGGAGGCAGCAGUAGGGAAUCUUCGGCAAUGGGGGGAACCCUGACCGAGCAACGCCGCGUGAGUGAAGAAGGUUUUCGGAUCGUAAAGCUCUGUUGUUAAGGAAGAACGAGUGUGAGAAUGGAAAGUUCAUACUGUGACGGUACUUAACCAGAAAGGGACGGCUAACUACGUGCCAGCAGCCGCGGUAAUACGUAGGUCCCGAGCGUUGUCCGGAUUUAUUGGGCGUAAAGCGAGCGCAGGCGGUUAGAAAAGUCUGAAGUGAAAGGCAGUGGCUCAACCAUUGUAGGCUUUGGAAACUGUUUAACUUGAGUGCAGAAGGGGAGAGUGGAAUUCCAUGUGUAGCGGUGAAAUGCGUAGAUAUAUGGAGGAACACCGGUGGCGAAAGCGGCUCUCUGGUCUGUCACUGACGCUGAGGCUCGAAAGCGUGGGGAGCGAACAGG
RNAcentral lists this ribosomal RNA (765 nucleotides) under uncultured Streptococcus sp. RNAcentral describes it as "bacterial SSU rRNA". It matches the Rfam family "Bacterial small subunit ribosomal RNA", at positions 28 to 776 of the family's 1533-position model. The record is from RNAcentral. Lineage: Bacteria; Bacillati; Bacillota; Bacilli; Lactobacillales; Streptococcaceae.